Non-coding RNA from Chiloscyllium plagiosum (whitespotted bambooshark), 237 nucleotides. The record is from RefSeq and is a predicted model, not a curated record. Lineage: Eukaryota; Metazoa; Chordata; Chondrichthyes; Orectolobiformes; Hemiscylliidae.
GCUGGUGCAACAGUUAUUUACAAUACAACUGAAUAACUGGAUUCAUGGAAAUGAAUGCAUUGUCAGGUUUACAAUGACUCAAAAACAGGUGAGAAAGUGAAUGCCAUGUCCUUUAAGAUGCUGAAGGUGCUGAGAGAGGGUGACAAUAAGAGACAGCUAGGGCACUGAAAUGUCACAGGAAAAGAAAAUCACGCUGUUCCACAGGACAAUAAAAAGAAGAAAGUCCAAAUCAAGUCC